GAGGAAACACAAAGAAUAACACAUCCAAUCCAUGUUCUACAAUGCUGUAGCCCCGCUACCUCCAAGCCUCAAGCAGAGAAUCAAUUUGAGAGCUCUUUAACUUAGGACUCAAACAAAUGCUUUGACAACUCCCUAAUCAUUCAUCAUUAUGUAUCAUUUUUACUCCAAAACUAGCAGUCAUAGCAGCUUCAAGUACCACAGUUACCACCAUCACAAUCCCAGAAUAUCGUAUCUGCACCAUCUAGCAAAAUGUGUACACUAGAGCUGCCCGAAUCAGUAUUAUACACGCAUCAUAGAAAGUAAUCGGGCGUUCUACGUGUCACAUCAGGUUCUCCCCUCCUCGGUGCUGGUUCAAACUGGAUAAAUGUGUGUCCCUUGCUGUCAUCAACUUCCAGUAUGGACGCCAUAUUCCCACAGCGAUAGCAAUAAUUUGGUGCACUAAAUAUAGUGACAACUUUUUGUUCAUGUCCCCAGUUAUAUCCCUCCAUGACUAGCUGAUGGGCUCUUGCUAUCAGCUUAAGGCUGUUAGUGUGGUUGAAUUGUUCGGAGAUAUCUUGGCCAAAGGUAUAUCCAGCACCACGAGGGGAUAUUCCCCACCCACACCGGUCAUCUGGGUCAGACCACAAGAGGUCACACAUUGGCCCCUCGUGAGGAACUUCUUGGACACGAUCAAAAUUACGAAUGUUAUCGAGGGUCUCAAUCGACGGGGAUAAACCACCAUGUAGGCAAAAUAUCUCUGAUUCAACCAAAGCAGUCAAUGGAAAGUAGUCAAAAAGGUCUGUAAAGAUCUUCCAU
This 795-nucleotide unclassified non-coding RNA is filed under the name Hevea brasiliensis (rubber tree). The record is from RNAcentral. Lineage: Eukaryota; Viridiplantae; Streptophyta; Magnoliopsida; Malpighiales; Euphorbiaceae.